CAGAUUGGUUACCCUUGCAAAUUCUGUUACAGCAUCAAUUGAAUAUCUUCUGCAAAAUGAUCAUCAUCAGCAGUGGAGCAGGCUUGCACGGAAGAGCAGAAGGAGCUAGCUGCUGCCAGGACAGACGGGGCAGGAGGCAACGCGGCCAGGGGGACAGCGGCACCGCGGAGCUGCUGGUGGGUGCCUCGCCUCCUCCCACUUCCAUAGCCCUACAAACUGCCCAAGGGCACAACGCAGAGCUGGAGGGUAAUCUCAGGUUCGGGAGCCAGUAGUACUUGCAAUACCA
Molecule: long non-coding RNA, 286 nt
Filed under: Struthio camelus australis
Lineage: Eukaryota; Metazoa; Chordata; Aves; Struthioniformes; Struthionidae
Description: lncRNA (ENSSCUG00000002600.1)
Source: RNAcentral